This 355-nucleotide transfer RNA is filed under the name uncultured Microcystis sp. RNAcentral describes it as "partial 16S-23S ribosomal RNA intergenic spacer". The stretch from base 132 to 205 matches the Rfam family "tRNA". Lineage: Bacteria; Bacillati; Cyanobacteriota; Cyanophyceae; Chroococcales; Microcystaceae. The record is from RNAcentral.
AAGGGAGACCUAAUUCAGGUAUGGGACGAAAAAAAGUAGUCGCUACCAAGAAUCAAUCCCAAAAGGUCGGAGCGAGGUAUGAGGCUUUCAAACUAGGUUCUGGGUUCACACAAGACCUGAAUCAGGAACAAGGGCUAUUAGCUCAGGUGGUUAGAGCGCACCCCUGAUAAGGGUGAGGUCCCUGGUUCGAGUCCAGGAUGGCCCACCUGCACAGGUGGCAAAAACAAGAGAAGCGAGGAAUCAGCACCUUAUCUUAUCUAUAUAUAAGAGAGAAUGCUGGCUCUGAGUAAAGAGUCCAGAGGAACCUUGAAAACUGCAUAGAGCUAGGUGAAAAAGCCAAAAAAGAAGACCGCAA